UCUGCAGUGGAAAGUUGACACGAUCCCAUUUAAUCGUCACAGUUCCACGAAGUCACUAGAUUCCUCGCCUCACUUUUCAGAUGAGGAAACAGGCUUAGCAGGAAUGAUACCAGCUUGAGGUCCCGUAGCUGUCCCUCGCUCAGCACUCCACGAAAAGGACGAGAGCAGAGAUAUGAAGUUCUACUGGGCCCAGCAUGAGGACACUUGGUUUUGGGCGAUGCCUCUUCAGAGUUGUGUGACCAGGGACAAGUCACGUGUCCUCGUGAAACUUAUCUCCAAAACAGACACAGGACUGUGUGUAUGCAGGGGAGCUGCUCAUGGCAGAGGACACCACUGUUAAUAGCAUCUGCUGCAUGCUCAUCAUUCUGUACACUCAGCUGUCCACGUUGCUGCUACUGUCCCCAUCUCAUAGGUGAGGAGACGGGGCUGGGAAGAAGUGAUAUGUGUGUUAACACCACGCAGGUGACCAUACCUUUGAUUUUGCCCUCCAUACCCAGAGUCUCACUAUGUACUUCAAGCUGGGCUUGAAUUCCCUAUGAACCCUGGGCUGGCCUCAUACUCAUGGUGAUCCUCCUGCCUCAGCCUCCCAAGUGCUAGGAUUGCAGGCAUGCACCGCCACAGUUGGGAGAGAUCUCAGGCCAAAUGUUACCUCCUUCUGAAAGCCUCCCAGUCCCUUUCCAGAGGACCUAAUGGCUUCCCCUUUCUUCCUGUUCAUCCCAGCAUCAGACUCUCUUCCUACUGUCCAGAAAGGCUAGGACCUGAGCUGCUGGGGCCAAGACUUCCUCCUUCUCCUCUUCCUGAUCCUGGCAGCCAGCACGGUGCCUGAAACACAGGAGAUGUUCAGUAAAUGCUGGAGGGAAGGAGGGCAAUACAAGAAGAUACUGGAAAGGAAAACAUGAAAGAUGUGAAUGACUUUGGUUGUCUGGGGGCAGAGGAUGCUCCCAAAGUGGGGAGGCUGGGGAGGAAAGUAGCAUUGGCCUUAGAGGAACUUGGAAGUUUUUUGCUCAAAACUGAGGGAGGGUGAGAUGAGCUUUGACGCAUUUUCAGACAAUAACAAAGACUCCUAACUAGUGGCUUAAGGAAGAGCAGUGUUCUCUCAGUGAGGAGGUGGGCAGUCCAGGCUAGGGUGGGCCCUCAGUCCCCAGGGACCUGGGUUCUGCAGUCUUCAGCUUUGCACUCAACCUGGAAGCUUUAUACUCCUAAGAGGCUGCUUGAGCCCAGCUAUCAUCACCUUGUGCCAGGCACCAGGAAGGGGGAGGAAAAGGGGACUCAUUCCCUUUAGUGGGUCUUCCUGGAACCCACACUACUCCUGGCUUAUUCCGUACAAUCUUGUCACAGGGCCACACUUAGCUGCAAGAGAGGUGAGAAAUGUAAUGCUUAGCUGGGCACACUGCUGUGUGCUGUCAUAGACUGAAUUGUGUACCCCUCCUAAAUUCAAGGGAAGCUCUGUUCCACAAUGCACCUGUAUUUAGGAAAGGGCCUCUAGGGAGGGAAUUAAGGUUAAAUGAGGUCAGAAGGGCAGGACUCUAAUCUGGAGGAUUUGUGACCUUGUAAAAGGGAGAGACAUCCCCACACACACACCCCGUGUACAGAGGACAGGCCCUGUGAGAAGACAGUAAGAAGGUGGCCAUCUACAAACUAGGAGGAGGACACUUGCCAGAAACUCAAGCAGCCAGCACCUUGAUCUUGACUUCAGAACCGUAAGGAAGAAAUUCCCAUGUUCCAGGCCCUGAGUCUGUGCUGUUUAGCUUUGCGACUCAAGUGAGCUAAUGCAGAGGGCUCUCUGACUAACAGGGUGAGAACCUGGGAGCCAGGAAAGAUUGGCAGUACCACUGUAACCCACCAGUAGGACCACCCAGAACCAGAGUUGGUGGCCUUCCAUCGGGUCCCCAGGCCUUGGUACUGAGCUAUAACCUCAGAUCGUUUAAAUUUUUAAAUUUUGAGACAAAGGCUCACUAGAUCAGUCAGACUGGACUAGAAAUUAUGAUCCUCUUGCCUCAGCCUCCCAGAGUGCUGGGUUUAUAAGUGUUGUGGCUUAUAUCUGAUGUUUCCCCAAAGCCUCCUGCACUCAUAGGUGGGGCUUUUGGGAGAUGAUUGGAUCAUGGGAACUUGAUAUUUAUCAGUGGAUUUGUCCACUCAUGACUUUAUAGCUAACUGUGAUGUUGGGAGGUGGAGCCUAGUGGGAGAAGGUGGGUUAUUGGGGGUGUGGGUGGAAAGGUCUGUCUCCCUCCUCCUCCCUUGAUCCCUCUCUGCUUCCUGCCUCCAUGCCAUGAGCUGUAUUUCCUCUGCUACACCACUCUGUAAUGGAGACAGCUGACUAUGGACUGAAACCUCUACAAACUGUGAGCCAAAAUACACCUUUCCUCCUUUAACUUGAGGGAGUUGGGUAUGGUAUCUCAGCAAUGAGAAGGUAACUAAAACAACUGGCAUGUGCCACCAUGCCUGGCUUAAACCACAGAUUCUUGAUAAAGUGACCAAGGUAGUGCCUGGUAAGCCCUCAGAAGUCAUAAUUCAAUGUUGGUACAAUUUUUAGAUGUCUAUAGAUACAUAAUGCAGUGCUGUAGAGUGGGAUUCAAAAGUAACUUUUAUUUCUAUAAAGAAAUUUGGUUGGAGACACAUUCACUUUAGCCCUGUCCUCCCCCAACACACACAAUACCAUGCUGGGAAGAAGAGAUUUUUUUCUUUUCUUUUCGAGACAGCGUCUUGUCUCACUAUGUAACCCAUUAUGUUGGUUACUUUUUCUCUUGUUGCUGAGACAAAAUACCUGACACUCAAAGUUAAAGGGGAAAGGGUUUAUUUGGCUUACAGUUCCUAGAGGUUUCAGUACAUAGUUGGCUGGCUCCAAGGCAGGGUGGCAGAAGGGCCACAGUUCAUGGCAGCAGAAGACAACAAAAGCAACAAGAGCCCUUCACAGCAUUUUUCUGCCCCUUUUAUCUCAUUCAGACUACUUAGGGCAGGUAGGAUUCACACCCUUCAUCCUAGUGCCCUCAGGCCUAGCCCCACCCUGAAUCAAUCACACACUCUAGAUUCAGCCACCUCUGAAAAAGCAUGAGGCUUUGAGGGGACAGCAAAACACAAGCCAGAACACCCAGGUUGCCCUCAAACUUGAGAUCUUCCUGCCUUAGCCUCCCAAGCGCUGGGAUUAGAGGUGUGUAUCACCAUGCCUGAAUGGGAUCUUCUUUUUUUUAAAAAAGAAAAAGCUGAGUAGAAAGACAACAGUCUUGUAAAGCGCCCCACCACCCCUUCUAUGUCAUCAAUCAAAAACCAAAUACAGCUGCCACCUGAAAACACAGUCAGACCUUUGCCCAAACUACUAUGGGCUGACCUUGCCUUAAAUACUGAGAGUGUACACGACAGAAAGAAAACACACUCAGAUGGGCCAGUUUUGAUCCUGCCUCUUCCCACCUACACAGUGCAGAGCCGCUGCGACACAGGAGGGACCUUGGGAAAAGAGAAGAGAGAUAUCUAAGAAUUAGUAGUGUGGAGAAAGCAGGGACAGGAAUGCCACAGGUCCCUCGGGAGGAAGGAGAGAGAAACCACAGCCUUUUACAGAGAAUCCAAUGACAGCUGUGGCCUCUCCUCCUAGAAAGGAGGAUGGAUGGAUAUACACAUGGGCACAGUAAUUUCAGGUAGCU
Long non-coding RNA from Heterocephalus glaber (naked mole-rat), 3635 nucleotides. The record is from Ensembl. NCBI's taxonomy places the organism in Eukaryota, Metazoa, Chordata, Mammalia, Rodentia, Bathyergidae.